This 477-nucleotide ribosomal RNA is filed under the name uncultured bacterium. RNAcentral's name for it is "bacterial SSU rRNA". It matches the Rfam family "Bacterial small subunit ribosomal RNA", at positions 26 to 518 of the family's 1533-position model. The record is from RNAcentral.
AGGACGAACGCUGGCGGCACGCUUAACACAUGCAAGUCGAACGGAGUUUAGAGAGCUUGCUUUUAAAACUUAGUGGCGGACGGGUGAGUAACACGUGAGCAAUCUGCCUUCAGAGGGGGGAUAGCAGUUGGAAACGACUGAUAAUACCGCAUAAUAUAGUAGGAUCGCAUGAUUUAACUAUCAAAGAUUUAUCGCUGAAAGAUGAGCUCGCGUCUGAUUAGAUAGUUGGUGAGGUAACGGCUCACCAAGUCGACGAUCAGUAGCCGGACUGAGAGGUUGAACGGCCACAUUGGGACUGAGACACGGCCCAGACUCCUACGGGAGGCAGCAGUGGGGAAUAUUGCACAAUGGGCGCAAGCCUGAUGCAGCGAUGCCGCGUGAGGGAAGAAGGUUUUAGGAUUGUAAACCUCUGUCUUCAGGGACGAUAAUGACGGUACCUGAGGAGGAAGCUCCGGCUAACUACGUGCCAGCAGCAGC